Long non-coding RNA from Olea europaea var. sylvestris, 1782 nucleotides. RefSeq lists it as uncharacterized. The record is from RefSeq and is a predicted model, not a curated record. The transcript is spliced from 2 exons. Lineage: Eukaryota; Viridiplantae; Streptophyta; Magnoliopsida; Lamiales; Oleaceae.
CAAUUCUUUCAUUCUCAUUCGACCUUUACUUCACAAAAACCUUAGCAAAGCAACUUGGCAGCAAUCUCUUGCAAGUUGCGAUUUCACUCCCAAGAAUCCAAAGCUUCAAAUUUCAAGUUGUAUUAGAUGAAAGAAGAAGAUGAAUUGACCCGCCGGUUGAACUACAGACUCGUUGACUGACCGCAUUGUCCGGGUCGACAUCCGGGUUGAGUCCGAUAACUAUGUCUCCAGGUGCAUCUAAGGUGUCAAAUAUUAACAAUAAUAUUUGAGCAUCUUCCAAAGUAUUUAUCACUAAAUUUAAAAAGAAAUCUCCCAAAAGCUUACUAUAAUUUAAAAGAGCAAUACAAUAUCUUCAAUAAAACUUCUCUUUUGUUUGUAGCUACAAAAUGAUUGUUAUGUAGCUCAAAUCAGCGACGACUUUUUUGUCAACAUAUUUGAUUGUUCUUUUAUAUUAUUUAUACUUUUGGGUGACUUCUUCCUAAACUUAGUAAUGAUUACAUUGGAAGAGACUCAAACUCUAUAUUUCAACGUGAUUUCACAUUGAGGUGAUUCUUUAGCUAACAUUUAUUCUAGUAAGUUGUUUUUUCUCAAUUUAUAAACUUAAAUUUCAAAUUUAUUUACAAACACUUCGCACUACUCUUUUACACAGAAAACUCAUUUUCCUUCUCUCUUCUAGGAAAAACUAAAGAUAUAAAAAUAGAAGAUGGAUCAAAGAUUUGGACAUAUGUUUAAGUGAGACCCAGUAAGAUGAUUUUCUUCAUUUUCGAUUUUUGAAAUAUUAUCAUGUUGGUCUGUUAAAUCCUAUGGACAAGAACAAUGAAAAAAUUAGGCAUGAAUGUGCUUUGCCAAUUUAUUUGAAAAUUUCAUUCCCGGUAAAUUUUAUGUCUCAGGUCUAUCGUAAGAGGCAUUCAACUUUCUGCUUGAUGUUAAAAUACGUGGACUUGAAUUAUUUGGGUACUAAUUUUCUACAAAAUAUUGAAGUCGACAAAUAGUAUGGUAUUAAUGAGGCUCAAAUUUUGCUGUUUUUGUCCAAUCCUUUUAUUAUCAUUAAUGUAAUUAUUUAUAUUGCAUUUCUUAAUGUUCUAAUCAUUUGUUAUGCUAAUAAAAGAUCUGUUGACCUUUUGAUAUCUGAAAAUAGUCAUGUAUAGUACUUGCAAUAUAUAUCCAAGCAAAGUCAUCCAAGUUCCCUCCAACGCAAUUUGUAAUUAUCUCUCAGGUAAAAGCAAGUUUAAUGCACACUCUAAGAGCAUGUGGGUCCUUGAAUGAUGAAAAAUAUAAUUUUGAUUUUGCAAAGGUAUGAUCUUGCUUCACACUAAAAUAUUAACAAUGAUAUAUGCAGUUUUAUGUAUACUUCACUUUGAUUAUUCAAUUGCAUUCUUUUUUGUUUUUUAUCAAAAAAUUAUUAUUAUUAUUAUUAUUAUUAUUAUUAUUAUUAUUAUUAUUAUUAUUAUUAUUAUUAUUAUUUUGUUCCGACUGUACAUAUACUUCUAGAAUACAACUGUAAGUAAUACAAGAGAGAAUAUUUUUGUGAAUAUGAUUCUUUAUAUAAUCAAUUGAAAAUGUGAAUAAUUUCUUUUAUGUGGUGAGGAUGUGUUGUCAACAUGUAGACAUGUCAUUUGACUUAUAUAUUUUUCUAUUGUAAUUCAUAUUAUUUGUAUCCACAUGAACAUGCUUGUGAAAUAUCAUAAGUUUCUUAUAUUUGGAGCAAACUUAAACAUUAGUUUUAACUGCAUAUACUGUUACUUAGAUUUCACUAAAAUUAGACCUCGUGAUGCAAAAAAA